This 345-nucleotide unclassified non-coding RNA is filed under the name soil metagenome. Its description in RNAcentral is "partial contains 5.8S ribosomal RNA, internal transcribed spacer 2, and large subunit ribosomal RNA". The stretch from base 1 to 120 matches the Rfam family "5.8S ribosomal RNA", at positions 35 to 154 of the family's 154-position model. The record is from RNAcentral.
GAUGAAGAACGCAGCGAAAUGCGAUACGUAAUGUGAAUUGCAGAAUUCAGUGAAUCAUCGAGUCUUUGAACGCACAUUGCGCCCCCUGGUAUUCCGGGGGGCAUGCCUGUCCGAGCGUCAUUGCUGCCCUCAAGCACGGCUUGUGUGUUGGGCCGCCGUCCUCCUCCCGGGGGACGGGCCCGAAAGGCAGCGGCGGCACCGCGUCCGGUCCUCGAGCGUAUGGGGCUUCGUCACCCGCUCUUGUAGGCCCGGCCGGCGCUUGCCGACACAUCAAUCUUUUUUCCAGGUUGACCUCGGAUCAGGUAGGGAUACCCGCUGAACUUAAGCAUAUCAAUAAGCGGAGGA